Molecule: ribosomal RNA, 525 nt
Filed under: Triticum aestivum (bread wheat)
Lineage: Eukaryota; Viridiplantae; Streptophyta; Magnoliopsida; Poales; Poaceae
Description: partial small subunit ribosomal RNA
Source: RNAcentral
AUGAAAUCGGUAGUUGAGCGUGCGGUCGAAAAAUCUAAGGAUGCAUGCUCUGUUUGCGGAUCAGAAGAUCAUUUUACUGAAGAUUGUGAGUUCUUGAAACUACUAGAUCAAAAUGACGGCUCCGGCUCUGAAGAUAACUAUGUACGAGAAUCUUGCUUGGAUGGUUCCGGGGAUGAUGGACAGGACCGGUUUGACGAGGAUCCAGUGCAUGUGGAAACUUCAGAAGCUCAGACAACUCGCUUGAUGGCAUCUGCAUCACCUACACCUCUCACAGCUCGUUUCGCUAGUGCAACUGCUACUGCAUCUCGUCAGUCCAAAGUUCCAAGCUCCAGCGGAAAAACUCCUGCUAGACGCAGAUGCAGCAUAUGCAAUGAGCAUGGACACAAUAAGGUGUCUUGUCCGCUAAGUGAUGAACCAAAGAAACCCCCAAAGAAGGUCCGAUGUGGCAAGUGCGGCAUGGGCACACACUAUGAAUCAACUUGUGGCGGCAAUACAACCUACAAACGACCUCGUCGUCUUCCGUAA